UCCCUUUUGGGGAACCGUCUAUCUGGAUCAAUUCCUAAGGAAAUCGGUGAUAUUGCUACACUUGAGGAGCUGAUCUUGGAAGAUAAUCAACUAGAAGGACCACUUAAUGAAAACCUUGGAAAUUUGGGCCGUUUGAGGAGACUCCUUCUCUCUGGAAACAAUUUUACAUGAACGAUACCGCAAAAUUUUCGCAAUCUGAAGAAUUUAACUGAUUUUAGGAUAGAUGAGAAUAAUUUAUCCGGGAAAAUACCUGAUUUAAUUAGGAACUGGACCAAACUUGACAAACUGUUUCUUCAAGGCACAUCAAUGGAGGGCCCCAUUCCUUCGACUAUAUCCCAGUUGAAAAACUUAACUGAGUUG
This is a long non-coding RNA of Vitis vinifera (wine grape), 360 nucleotides long. RefSeq lists it as uncharacterized. The transcript is spliced from 5 exons. The record is from RefSeq and is a predicted model, not a curated record. Lineage: Eukaryota; Viridiplantae; Streptophyta; Magnoliopsida; Vitales; Vitaceae.